RNAcentral lists this ribosomal RNA (156 nucleotides) under Campanula comosiformis. RNAcentral describes it as "5.8S ribosomal RNA". It matches the Rfam family "5.8S ribosomal RNA". From Rfam's summary of the family: 5.8S ribosomal RNA (5.8S rRNA) is a component of the large subunit of the eukaryotic ribosome. It is transcribed by RNA polymerase I as part of the 45S precursor that also contains 18S and 28S rRNA. Lineage: Eukaryota; Viridiplantae; Streptophyta; Magnoliopsida; Asterales; Campanulaceae. The record is from RNAcentral.
AACGACUCUCGGCAACGGAUAUCUCGGCUCUCGCAUCGAUGAAGAACGUAGCGAAAUGCGAUACUUGGUGUGAAUUGCAGAAUCCCGUGAACCAUCGAGUCUUUGAACGCAAGUUGCGCCCGAAGCCUUUAGGCCGAGGGCACGUCUGCAUGGGCG